CGGGACGGGUGAGUAACGCGUGGAUAACCUGCCUCACACAGGGGGAUAACAGUUAGAAAUGACUGCUAAUACCGCAUAAGCGCACGGUACCGCAUGGUACAGUGUGAAAAACUCCGGUGGUGUGAGAUGGAUCCGCGUCUGAUUAGGUAGUUGGUGAGGUAACGGCCCACCAAGCCGACGAUCAGUAGCCGACCUGAGAGGGUGACCGGCCACAUUGGGACUGAGACACGGCCCAA
This 236-nucleotide ribosomal RNA is filed under the name uncultured bacterium. Its description in RNAcentral is "partial 16S ribosomal RNA". It matches the Rfam family "Bacterial small subunit ribosomal RNA", at positions 100 to 334 of the family's 1533-position model. The record is from RNAcentral.